UCUCAUGGAUAUCUAUAGAGAUCAGAUACUUGUGUGGCUCAAAAGGAAUCCAAAAAAAUAUCCACGAUCAUCGAAUCAUGGCGAAUACCUACCCGUGCAAAGAUGAAGAUGAGAUCUUCAUAUUUGCUGCAUGUAGAUCUUAAGAAGAUGAUAGGGAUGAUCUCAUAAGAUGAGAUCUAGAUGUGGCAUGCUAGAUAAAUUUAUUUCCAUUGCAUGUAUAAAAUUUUUAUUGAUCUAGCAUACAUGUUGCCCUUGUUUUUCUUUCAACUGAUAUUAGAGCAUAGGUUGCAUGAUCAUGUUCUUAGAUCUAAAAUUCAGAUUA
Molecule: long non-coding RNA, 322 nt
Filed under: Elaeis guineensis (African oil palm)
Lineage: Eukaryota; Viridiplantae; Streptophyta; Magnoliopsida; Arecales; Arecaceae
Description: long non-coding RNA (EGUI_LNC068005)
Source: RNAcentral